AGUUUGAUCCUGGCUCAGAUUGAACGCUGGCGGCAGGCCUAACACAUGCAAGUCGAACGGUAACAGGAAGAAGCUUGCUUCUUUGCUGACGAGUGGCGGACGGGUGAGUAAUGUCUGGGAAACUGCCUGAUGGAGGGGGAUAACUACUGGAAACGGUAGCUAAUACCGCAUAACGUCGCAAGACCAAAGAGGGGGGACCUUCGGGCCUCUUGCCAUCGGAUGUGCCCAGAUGGGAUUAGCUAGUAGGUGGGGUAACGGCUCACCUAGGCGACGAUCCCUAGCUGGUCUGAGAGGAUGACCAGCCACACUGGAACUGAGACACGGUCCAGACUCCUACGGGAGGCAGCAGUGGGGAAUAUUGCACAAUGGGCGCAAGCCUGAUGCAGCCAUGCCGCGUGUAUGAAGAAGGCCUUCGGGUUGUAAAGUACUUUCAGCGGGGAGGAAGGGAGUAAAGUUAAUACCUUUGCUCAUUGACGUUACCCGCAGAAGAAGCACCGGCUAACUCCGUG
This 509-nucleotide ribosomal RNA is filed under the name uncultured bacterium. RNAcentral's name for it is "bacterial SSU rRNA". It matches the Rfam family "Bacterial small subunit ribosomal RNA", at positions 10 to 507 of the family's 1533-position model. The record is from RNAcentral.